GCUAGGCGUAGUGGCGUGUGGUUGUAGUCCCAGCUACUUGGUAGGUUGAGACAGGAGGAGGAUCGCUUGAGUCCAGGAGUUCUGGGCUGUAGUGUCCUAUGCUGAUCGGGUGUCUGCACUAAGUUCAGCAUCAAUAUGAUGACCUCCUGGGAGUGGGAUGCCACCAGGUUGCCUAAGGAGGGGUGAACUGGCCCAGUUCGGAAACGGAGCAGGUCAAAGCUCCUGUGCUGAUCAGUAGUGGGAUGGCGCCUGUGAAUAGCCACUGCACUCCAGUCUGGGCAACAUAGUGAGACCUUGUCUCUU
Non-coding RNA from Otolemur garnettii (small-eared galago), 303 nucleotides. The record is from Rfam. Lineage: Eukaryota; Metazoa; Chordata; Mammalia; Primates; Galagidae.